RNAcentral lists this microRNA precursor (57 nucleotides) under Monodelphis domestica (gray short-tailed opossum). Its description in RNAcentral is "microRNA mdo-mir-7262h precursor". The record is from miRBase by way of RNAcentral. Lineage: Eukaryota; Metazoa; Chordata; Mammalia; Didelphimorphia; Didelphidae.
ACAAGUCUUAGUCCAGGUUUGAGGUAUCAAGGCUUAAGCCUACACUAAGACUUUUGG